Molecule: ribosomal RNA, 264 nt
Filed under: uncultured Ascomycota
Lineage: Eukaryota; Fungi; Ascomycota
Description: partial 18S ribosomal RNA
Rfam family: Eukaryotic small subunit ribosomal RNA
Source: RNAcentral
UUAAAAAGCUCGUAGUUGAACCUUGGGCCUGGCUGGCCGGUCCGCCUCACCGCGUGUACUGGUCCGGCCGGGCCUUUCCUUCUGGGGAACCUCAUGCCCUUCACUGGGCGUGUUGGGGAACCAGGACUUUUACUUUGAAAAAAUUAGAGUGUUCAAAGCAGGCCUUUGCUCGAAUACAUUAGCAUGGAAUAAUAGAAUAGGACGUGUGGUUCUAUUUUGUUGGUUUCUAGGACCGCCGUAAUGAUUAAUAGGGACAGUCGGGGG